GAUCGUCUUUCUAAUACUGGUGCAAGGUUGUCAGGCAUAUCGCGUCCGAAAACAUCUUUUGGAGCUAGCAGCAGAAAAUCAAGUCAAUAUGGACGUGAAUCGUACAUGCAGAUAAAAGACUCCAGACCGCUUAGUGAUAAAUCUUAUCAGCAUCAAGAAAUACAAGACAUAUUGCAGUUUCUUUCGGUCAACGAUUACCAGCAUCCAAUCUCCAUGAAGAAAAUGACGAUUCCAACGAGCAAAGAGUUCCUGAAAGUAUUUUCCCCAUAUCAGUCCAACGGACACAUAUAAAAAA
This is a long non-coding RNA of Xenia sp. Carnegie-2017, 295 nucleotides long. RefSeq lists it as uncharacterized. The record is from RefSeq and is a predicted model, not a curated record. The transcript is spliced from 5 exons. NCBI's taxonomy places the organism in Eukaryota, Metazoa, Cnidaria, Anthozoa, Malacalcyonacea, Xeniidae.